UUUUCCCUGCGGUGUUCGCGAAGGCAUACAUUCCUUUGAACCAAUAAGUUCGCUUAAGGUUGCCGGGAGUUUGCAGUGGGCGUGAGCUUCUUUACUGAAUGCACCCGAAGCUGUCCGAGGCGACCGCCUUGUCUGACAAGGUUCAAGCGGAUUGAGCCGAAACGGCACCGGCGGGGAACCC
This 181-nucleotide non-coding RNA is filed under the name Neisseria sp. Its description in RNAcentral is "6S RNA". It matches the Rfam family "6S / SsrS RNA". From Rfam's summary of the family: E. coli 6S RNA was the first non coding RNA to be sequenced, but its function was unknown until recently. Lineage: Bacteria; Pseudomonadati; Pseudomonadota; Betaproteobacteria; Neisseriales; Neisseriaceae. The record is from RNAcentral.